AAAAAAAGCCUUGCGUCUCAAUCAGCAGAAAUAAUUUUUUCUUUGCAACUAAACCCUAAUAUUCAAUCUUUUUUUCUUCUGAACCCAUUCACCAUUUGUAUUUCGUUGUGCUGUAAGAUCUAACGAUGCGAAAGAGUGAUGAUAGGUUAAUACGAUUAUGGUUUUUACUGUACAACAAUCGCAAGGUUAAACAAAGAAAAGGUUUGCUUACCAUCUAUCCGCGGCCUGAUUUUUGGUCAUUGUUUUUUCUUUUUCUUUUUAGACAGUGAUUUCACUUAUUUUGUUGCAUUAUUAAAAUUUCUAUGGUCAAUACUCCAAAAUACAUGUUGAUUUUGCUCAUUGUUGUUAGAUUAUAGGGUUAAUAAUGAAAAUUAUGUAAUUCUAAACGGAAGUUCCGGAGAAAAAUGGUGAUUGCAAUUAAUAUGGUUUAUUUUGCGAGGUGCAUUCGAAUCUCUUAUUGUUCGGUAUGCAGGUUGAUAUUUUGUUGUCCAUAUACAAUGAAGAAAACAUGUUUUGUUUGUUUCAGAGAGUUGAGUGGAUUCAAGGGGUGAUAUUUAUCCUAACAGGUGCAUAACACAUGAAAUUGCACUAUGAAUUCUGGAAAUGCCUAACGUUUUAUGUAUUUGUUCAAACCUACUGCAAGCAUCAAAGACAGGUACUCUCUCUAACCUUUAAAAAAUUUAAUAUUGCCGAUUUUAGCACUUCACAGGUAACAUGAUAGACAUAGACUACACUAAUCUGAGUAUAAUCAUAGCUCAGCAGCCAACAUAUUGAAUUGGUUUAUUCUGUCCACAAAUACAAUUGUAUUGUUACAAUAAUUUUGAAUUUGUCGAAUCGUCUUGACUACUAUGAUUUUAACAACACCAGUCUAACCAUGUCGUUUAUUAACCAGGAUUAUGGGUCAUCUUUCUUACAGAUAUAGAGUAGCCCUGAUUUUCCUCUAUUUCUUACAAGUAUAUAUCAGCGCUGAUUUAUGUUAUUUCACAUUUUACCCUUACCCAAUUUAUUUUAACGAAGUAGGGAUGGGUUCCAUUUUGAGUAUCUCUCUACUUUGGAUUCUAUUUCCUGUAUUGAUUUUUUGGUAGUCUGGUAGCUUAUAUAAUAUCACGUUGUUUUGUCCUCGAGGAUUGCUACAACCAACUGAAUUUGGUUUGCAGCUUUAAAAACAAUCUGUGAAGACGUUGUGGUGGUUACAACUUAUAAAGGGAAUAAAACACGCUCGAGUAAUCGAGGUGAAUUUGGGGUCAAUUUAGUUAAUAAAGUGAAGUGCUGUCAUUUUUCUGGUUUUAUCAAUUUUCCAAAAUUUGUUGAUUAGGCUUUUUAAAUUCCUGUUAAAUGAGCUUCUCUUGCAUAUAAAAGAUGCUUAUAGAUGUUGGGAUGCUCUUGAUCCCAUCGAGGAUGUUAUGGUACUUUCGUGAGUCAAGUCUGGAUAUUUAUGUCUUUCUUAUUGGGCAAAUUCAUAUUUUUUACUA
Long non-coding RNA from Papaver somniferum (opium poppy), 1472 nucleotides. RefSeq lists it as uncharacterized. NCBI's taxonomy places the organism in Eukaryota, Viridiplantae, Streptophyta, Magnoliopsida, Ranunculales, Papaveraceae. The record is from RefSeq and is a predicted model, not a curated record. The transcript is spliced from 3 exons.